GAUGAACGCUGGCGGCAUGCCUAACACAUGCAAGUCGAGCGAACGGACGAGGAGCUUGCCCCUCUGCCGCUCGCGGCGCACGUGUGAGCAACACGUAGAUACCCUACAUGUUAGACUCGGAUUACUCCGGGAAUCCGGAUCCCAUACCCGAUCAUAUACUGAACUGCCUGGUUCAUUCGUCCUCGCCGCUUUUGCCGUCACUUAUACAUGGAUCCGCGACGCACUAGUUAGUUGGUGAGGUAACGGCUUACCAAGGCAACGAUGCGUAGCCGACCUGAGAGGAUGAUCGGCCACACUGGAACUGAGACACGGUCCAGACGCCUACGGGAGGCAGCAGUAGGGAAUCUUCCGCAAUGGGCGAAAGCCUGACCGAGCAACGCCGCGUGAGUGAUGAAGGUCUUCGGAUCGUAAAGCUCUUUAAAGCGGGAAGAAGAAAGGUGUCAGAAACCAGGCUCGUCUUGACGGUACCUAAUCAGAAAGCCACGGCUAACUUCGUG
RNAcentral lists this ribosomal RNA (497 nucleotides) under uncultured bacterium. RNAcentral's name for it is "partial 16S ribosomal RNA". It matches the Rfam family "Bacterial small subunit ribosomal RNA", at positions 28 to 507 of the family's 1533-position model. The record is from RNAcentral.